UACGUAGGUGGCAAGCGUUGUCCGGAUUUACUGGGCGUAAAGAGCGCGCAGGCGGUCGUUCAAGUCGCGUGUGAAAGCCCCCGGCUCAACUGGGGAGGGUCACGCGAUACUGAUCGACUCGAAGGCAGGAGAGGGUAGUGGAAUUCCCGGUGUAGUGGUGAAAUGCGUAGAUAUCGGGAGGAACACCAGUGGCGAAGGCGACUCUCUGGACCAGCACUGACACUGAGGCACGAAAGCGUGGGGAGCAAACAGG
RNAcentral lists this ribosomal RNA (253 nucleotides) under uncultured bacterium. RNAcentral describes it as "partial 16S ribosomal RNA". It matches the Rfam family "Bacterial small subunit ribosomal RNA", at positions 524 to 776 of the family's 1533-position model. The record is from RNAcentral.